RNAcentral lists this unclassified non-coding RNA (323 nucleotides) under Hevea brasiliensis (rubber tree). Lineage: Eukaryota; Viridiplantae; Streptophyta; Magnoliopsida; Malpighiales; Euphorbiaceae. The record is from RNAcentral.
AUCUGAUACAAAAUUCAUAAAGAAAUCUGCCCAUUUUUUCAGCGAGGAAGUUCUAUAUAUAAUGAUCAAAACACAAACUGACAAUAAGUAGACAACAACAAACAAAAUCACUGUAUUAAUGGAAAAGAUUACCAGUUAAUUAGCAAUGAAGCGGACAAAUUUUCUCCACUAAAUGUUGGAGAUGAGAUGAUUAUCACAAAAACCUUGAAUAUUGUACUCAUCACACAGAAGAAAAUUCAUCAACUUCAUCACCAUUUGAGAAGGUAAUCUUCUUCUUUAUUAUUCUGCUCAUCAUCUCCCAGCAAGUGCUCCGUAGCAAACCG